RNAcentral lists this long non-coding RNA (1937 nucleotides) under Salvia miltiorrhiza (redroot sage). RNAcentral's name for it is "long non-coding RNA (SMIL_LNC006528)". Lineage: Eukaryota; Viridiplantae; Streptophyta; Magnoliopsida; Lamiales; Lamiaceae. The record is from RNAcentral.
GGCAUCCGCCGCCUUCUAUUCACCAUCCAUGCAAUUUCUGCGCUAAAAUACCAACAAACUUGGGUAAUAUCGAAUAUAAUCCAUGGAAAACAACACGAAUACAAAUAACUAAAACACACCCAUGACAUAUCCUCUGCCGAUCUUGUUCAUCUCCGCCGAUCUUCUUCUUCUCAUCUUCUUCUUCUCCGUUCAACUAUGUCUGAAUCACAGAUAUCUGAUAAUUUUCUCUGGGCUUCACCAUCGUUGGAGAACGAUUUGGGAUCCACCGACCUCCCGUCCAUGGAAUCGGUGGCAAAAUCCUAUGUCGUCUUCCUUGGGCUUGAGGUGCCGAAAACUGAGUCCAUGGUGCCGGAAACCAAUUUAUUCGGCAUGUCGUGGCGAGCUACUGAAUCUAGCAUUUCGCCGCCUCGAUCUAAGAUCCAUUUGCUCCUGGCGACUAGAUCUACUAUCGAUCGAGUCCCGGCGACGCGAUCUCUUGAAGCUAGGGUUCCGGAACCCGGAUCUCUGGAAGAGGCAGAGUUCUACAACUUCGCCCAAUAUGAGGAUGAAAAAUGGACGAAAUGGGUGGGCAUCUCUGAGGCGGCGGAUGAACCUCCGCCGCCGCCGCCUGAUAACACUCAUGUUUCCAUGGUUUUUAGUGUUCUUAUGAUGUUAAUUUUAUAGGAAAUUGAGUGUUGGAUGAUUGUUUUGUGCUUAAAUUGUUUUAUCUUGUGAAAUAUGUUACUUUCUCGUACUUUGAUGAAUUUUACAGAAAUAUGGAGUUCGAAUUUGGACUGUGGUUUAAUGAAAGUUGUAGUUCGUCUCGAUACGAGUUCGUAGGCGCAAACGGUUCGCAAAUCCGAGUUCGGACGAGAAAGAUAUGGCCGAAACAAGAAAUUCGCGCACAACAGUGAAUAGUGCCCGACGGGAAUUUCCGAAUUUUCGGGAUUUUGCGGGAUUUUCGGAUUUUAUCAGUAUUUUCGAGCUCUACACUGUAUUUAUCUCCUGUGCCUAUAUAUAGGUCCUUUCCCUGACCUAAUAGACACAUCUCUUUACCUCUCUUUAUUUCUUUUCUUCUUCCUUUUAUUUUUAGACUUAGAAUUUUAUUGCUUCCAUACAUUAGCUUUAUUUUUCCUGCAAGAUUUCAGCUGUCAUUCAACAUUCAUUCCGGGUUUUAUUUAAUUCAGUUUUUAUUAUUGCUUUCUUUUUAAUUAUGUUUAUGCUUUCUUUUGCUAUGUCUGGCUAGUUUCUUUUUCUGAUUCUAGGGUUUGUAAAUAGUUAAUUAGGUUCAUGUGAUUUAUUUGUUAAUACCUAUGUGCCUUCCAGUUUAUGAUUCAUAAUUCCUGGUGCUUAAUUUCUUGUGAAUUAUCUGAUCAAUAGUUUGCAUGUUUAGCUAUUCGAUUUGAGACCUAGCGGAGAUAACUGUUUAGCGGAUUCAGGAAUGUAUGAUAUGAUCUUAACCUUGAGACCUAGCGGAGAUAGGUGGAUCAUAGGGAGCUAUUCUUAGGAACUAUUAGGAGUUAGUAGAUUUUCUUGAGACCUAACGGAGAUAGAUAAUUUACUAAUCUACGAUCGUUGCUGCUCUAGCGAGAGUGAUUGAUUAAUUAAGUGAUCUCUCAUCAUAACUGGAUUAAACUGGUACAUAUGAUUAAUAGAUUUAUUGCGUAGAUUUAGUUAAUGAAUUUACUACCCUAGGAUCAGUUGUUUUUAAUAUUUGAUUCUUCUACGUGCUUUGAUUUAUUUUUAUUUGUGUUUUAGUUUAAGUUAGUCAAACAUUCUUUUUAUUCGUUUGCCUGUCUACUGUUAUAGUUUGUUUAGGAGAUAGCUAGAGUGAUUUCGGUUUUUCAGUCCCUGUGGAUACGAUACUCGAUUACUUGUUGCUUGCUACAAUUGCCUGUGUUAGUUGCAGUUUUUGUUGCUAAGAAAUUAGUGAUCACCGCCCUCCGUGCGAAAGGAGC